This 305-nucleotide ribosomal RNA is filed under the name uncultured bacterium. Its description in RNAcentral is "bacterial SSU rRNA". It matches the Rfam family "Bacterial small subunit ribosomal RNA", at positions 338 to 641 of the family's 1533-position model. The record is from RNAcentral.
CCUACGGGGCGCAGCAGUGAGGAAUAUUGGCCAAUGGGCGGGAGCCUGAACCAGCCAAGUCGCGUGAGGGACGACGGUCCUAUGGAUUGUAAACCUCUUUUGUCGGGGAACAGAGGCGCCCACGGGUGGGCGGAUGAGUGUACCCGAAGAAAAAGCAUCGGCUAACUCCGUGCCAGCAGCCGCGGUAAUACGGAGGAUGCGAGCGUUAUCCGGAUUUAUUGGGUUUAAAGGGUGCGCAGGCGGCCUGUUAAGUCAGCGGUAAAAGCCCGGGGCUCAACCCCGGCGAGCCGUUGAAACUGGCGGGC